AUGAAGUCGGAAUUGCUAGUAAUGGCAGGUCAGCAUACUGCCGUGAAUACGUUCCCGGGCCUUGUACACACCGCCCGUCACACCAUGAGAGUUGGAGAUACCCGAAGCCUAUGAGCUAACUUUUGAGGCAGUAGUCGAAGGUAGAAUCAAUGAUUGGGGUGAAGUCGUAACAAGGUAAC
This 179-nucleotide ribosomal RNA is filed under the name uncultured bacterium. RNAcentral describes it as "partial 16S ribosomal RNA". It matches the Rfam family "Bacterial small subunit ribosomal RNA", at positions 1320 to 1500 of the family's 1533-position model. The record is from RNAcentral.